Molecule: ribosomal RNA, 253 nt
Filed under: uncultured bacterium
Lineage: Bacteria
Description: partial 16S ribosomal RNA
Rfam family: Bacterial small subunit ribosomal RNA
Source: RNAcentral
UACAGAGGUGCCAAGCGUUGUUCGGAUUUAUUGGGCGUAAAGGGUGCGUAGGCGGUAAUAUAAGUCGGGUGUGAAAUUUCGGAGCCUAACUCCGAAACUGCAUUCGAAACUGUAUUGCUCGAGGUCUGGAGAGGUAAUUGGAAUUCUUGGUGUAGCAGUGAAAUGCGUAGAUAUCAAGAGGAACACCAGAGGCGAAAGCGAAUUACUGGACAGAACCUGACGCUGAGGCACGAAAGCUAGGGUAGCAAACGGG